UGGAGAGGGUGUGCUUCCUGUUGAACU
Molecule: non-coding RNA, 27 nt
Filed under: Mus musculus (house mouse)
Lineage: Eukaryota; Metazoa; Chordata; Mammalia; Rodentia; Muridae
Source: RNAcentral